Molecule: ribosomal RNA, 439 nt
Filed under: uncultured bacterium
Lineage: Bacteria
Description: partial 16S ribosomal RNA
Rfam family: Bacterial small subunit ribosomal RNA
Source: RNAcentral
CCUACGGGAGGCAGCAGUGGGGAAUAUUGCACAAUGGGCGAAAGCCUGAUGCAGCAACGCCGCGUGAGCGAUGAAGGCCUUCGGGUCGUAAAGCUCUGUACUCAAGGAAGAUAAUGACGGUACUAGAGGAGGAAGCCGCGGCUAACUACGUGCCAGCAGCCGCGGUAAUACGUAGGGGGCUGGCGUUAUCCGGAGUUACUGGGCGUAAGGGGUGCGUAGGUGGUUUCUUAAGUCAGAGGUGAAAGGCUACGGCUCAACCGUAGUAAGCCUUUGAAACUGGGGAACUUGAGUGCAGGAGAGGAGAGUGGAAUUCCUAGUGUAGCGGUGAAAUGCGUAGAUAUUCGGAGGAACACCAGUUGCGAAGGCGGCUCUCUGGACUGUAACUGACACUGAGGCACGAAAGCGUGGGGAGCAAACAGGAUUAGAUACCCGAGUAGUC